GGCAGGUGGAGGGAAGGAAGGGCAUUGCUCAGAAAGGAAAAAAAAAAAAUUGACAUCACUGAAGUCACGUGAUCGGCAAGAACCAAUUGAGAUGGGCUGUGGAAAGGGGAACAGUUAAAUUUGUAAUUUGGGUUGUGUGAAAACUUCUUUGGGCCUCAUAAACAACCACAGAACCACAAGUUGGGUAGCCUGGCAGUGUCAGAAGUCUGAACCCAGCACAGUGGUCAGCAGGCAGGACGAAUCACACUGAAUGCAAACCACAGGGUUUCGCAGCGUGGUAAAAGAAAUCAUUGAGUCCCCCGCCUUCAGAAGAGGGUGCAUUUUCAGGAGGAAGCGAUGGCUUCAGACAGCAUAUUUGAGUCAUUUCCUUCAUACCCACAGUGCUUCAUGAGAGGUGAGUACAUGCUGGUCUUGUAAUACCUCCUUUUGC
Molecule: long non-coding RNA, 430 nt
Filed under: Macaca fascicularis (crab-eating macaque)
Lineage: Eukaryota; Metazoa; Chordata; Mammalia; Primates; Cercopithecidae
Description: lncRNA (ENSMFAG00000062085.1)
Source: RNAcentral